This is an RNA transcript of Haliaeetus leucocephalus (bald eagle), 4359 nucleotides long. It is a transcript of the gene named proteasome (prosome, macropain) subunit, alpha type, 3, with no coding region annotated. The record is from RefSeq and is a predicted model, not a curated record. The transcript has 11 exons. Lineage: Eukaryota; Metazoa; Chordata; Aves; Accipitriformes; Accipitridae.
UUGGGCGGUCGGGAGCGUGAGCGCGGCCCGGGCAGGAGUUGUGUGUGUGUGUGGGGGGGAGCUCCGUCCGGCCGUGGCUGAGGGCGCCGCCGCCGCCAUGAGCUCCAUCGGUACCGGGUACGACCUGUCAGCUUCCACGUUUUCUCCAGAUGGCAGAGUAUUUCAAGUUGAAUAUGCUAUGAAAGCUGUGGAGAAUAGUAGUACAGCAAUUGGGAUAAGAUGCAAAGAUGGUGUUGUCUUUGGAGUAGAAAAACUAGUUUUGUCCAAGCUUUAUGAAGAGGGUUCCAAUAAACGUCUCUUCAAUGUCGAUCGACAUGUUGGAAUGGCAGUAGCAGGACUUCUGGCAGAUGCUCGUUCUUUGGCAGACAUAGCUAGAGAAGAGGCUUCUAACUUUAGAUCCAACUAUGGCUAUGAUAUUCCACUGAAGCAUCUUGCGGACAGAGUGGCUAUGUAUGUGCAUGCAUACACACUAUACAGUGCUGUCAGACCUUUUGGUUGCAGUUUCAUGUUGGGGUCCUAUGAUGAUGAUGAUGGUGCACAACUGUACAUGAUUGAUCCAUCAGGAGUUUCAUACGGUUAUUGGGGGUGUGCCAUUGGUAAAGCCAGGCAGGCUGCAAAAACAGAGAUAGAAAAGCUUCAGAUGAAGGAAAUGACCUGCCGUGAUGUUGUUAAAGAGGUUGCGAAAAUAAUCUACAUAGUUCAUGAUGAAGUAAAGGAUAAAGCUUUUGAGCUGGAACUCAGCUGGGUUGGAGAAAUAACCAAUGGAAAACAUGAAAUUGUUCCCAAAGACAUCAGGGAAGAAGCAGAGAAAUAUGCCAAGGUAAGGUCUGAUUUUGGUGUCAUCUCAGUGCUCCACUUGACAGGCACGUCUAGAGCACAGGGAACUAACUGAAGGUUAGGCUUCUACUGUUGUGAUGACUGGAAUAUGUGUAGUUACAUGUAUCACUUCAGUGUUAGCUGAUGUUAUUCUGAAGGGAGAAGAGCAAAGUUUACGGCAUAAUCCAGUGUUAGUUUUCUUUCAAGAACAGUGUAAUUCAGCAGGCUUGCACAGGUGGCGUGCUUCUUCAGAAGUAACUGUAUUAACUUUUCAACAGUGGGUAUGAGUGAGUAGGAGAGGUAGUAAGUCAUGUUGCCUAGAACAGUUUUUAAAGAUAACCAGCUGGAGAAAGUUAGACUUCCAGCAUUUAACAGCUUUGCUUUUGUUCUAAAAGUAAUGAUGGUGCUCAGUAUUACCUCCUAAAGAUAUGAACUAGCCUGCUGAAUACAAGGCUUUGGACAGAUUGAGAGGAUUGUGAAACUACAGCAAAACUCAUUUUGCUUAUUAUAGGCUGAAUUAUAAAACAACUGUUAAGAUAUUUUUUUAAUUAAACUUUUUUUUAAAAUAGGAAUCUUUGAAAGAGGAAGAUGAAUCAGACGAUGACAAUAUGUAACACAUUGUUACUUCAAGACAAGUUCAACUUUUCUUAACUUAGAACAGGUUUGUUUAUAAUGUAUUAAGCAUGGGAUGCUACUAUGUAUUUGCUGGAAGAAACUGAGUGACCAACUUGCACUAAUAAAUUUUCCAUUUUACUGUCCAUUAGCUUUUAUUUCAAAAGAGUAUAGGCCAGCAUCAUUAAGAAGCAACUGUACUCUGUAUCAAAACAGACAUUAAGAAGGAAAGAUAUUAUCAGGCUGGUGUUGCUGCUGCUUACUACAGCAUUCCAUCUGACCCAGGCCAGAGUUCUGGAUGUCACACAACACAGCUCAUUUCAGUGGUUCUGAUUACAGCUGUAGUGGUGUAACUAAUGGGGUGACAGACUACACAAACACACUGCAGGGGAAAGCAUAUCCCUGAAGGUACACACCUCCUGCUAACAGUAGUCUUGCAAUUAAUUCACAGGUUAAGUGUGCAUUACAUAGUGUUGAUUGGUCAACUAACUCCCUGGCCACUUGGAAAUCAGCUACCUGUAAUAAUAUCCUCCAAACAAUAUACACAAAUAAAAAGUGUAUUUUGAAAAAGGCAACUAAGUAGGAAAAAAUUCAGCAUUUAAUCACUGGCCAAACUGUAGAUUCUCACUAACAGCAGCUACUUAUAGCUAAAAACAUUUAAUUCAAAAGAUUGAGGGCAAUAAUACUUUUAAAAAAGAAUCGAUACUGACCAACUGCAGUCUUGCUAGCUGAGGCUGAAAAGUAAAUGAUUGAAGUAAUCUGGACAAGCAAAAGCCCUAGAAGAAAGGCCAUGUAACCACUGCCUUCACAAGCUUUCUUUUGCUGAGCAACCAUGCUUUGCAGAAGCAGUGCUUGCUGCUUUGUGCUAGCCUGCAUGCUGUUGGUAUAGUCCCAAUGCAAUUGGAUCAUGUUGCUCUACCACCUGUAUCUGUAACAAGCAGUCAUUGUAAUCAACACCUUAUCAGUGCUGACAAGCUGGAGUGACACCUAUGCUGGCAGAUGGACCAUGUCCAAGGAUUCACCAUCAGUAUCAGAACCCUAUUUUUUAUCUCUACAGGUAUGGAAAGAUAUAUUUUAGUAAAAAUCCAAACGAAGCAAGCCACUUACCAGUGUCUGAAAAAGCUUGUGUAUGUGAGGACAUAGCUCUUAACAGCUUUAUUUCCUUCUUGUACUUUUUAACGUGGCUACUUCUGCAGCAUGGAGUCUUAUCUGGGCUGGCGGGAGGCGGGGGGGGAAGCCUUCCCAAGAUACAAACUAGCAACAGGUACCAUAAGGGAGGAAGAUUCUUACUUUAGGUUGGCCAUGACAGAUCACUCAAAACUACUGAAAAAAGAAGAAAACCCUGAAUCUACUAACACAGAUAUUGAGAAAUUAAUCCAGAGUUAGUUCUCUUUGCCGAAGUGAAACAACAGCCUAUUUCAGCUCUCCAACAUCAGCAGCAAUCAACAGCUUAGAUAGGGAUAGCAUGAGACACCUAUUCAGUAUACAUUUACUCCCAGUCUUGUAUCACAAAAGGCUGAAAAAGUAACCACACUGUUGCUCCAAAGUAGCAUCAGAAGUUAAAUAUUUAAGGAGGAAUACCUUCUAUUUCAGAAGCUUAACUUACUCAGAAGAAUGCAGUAAGGUUCUUCAAAUACAACCUCACUUAAAAGUUAAAACUUUAAAGAUAUUUUCUCCUGUUAGUUUUCAUGGCAAUGAAAUAUGUCAUUGCCACUCCCGAAACCACAUGGUUUUUGCAUUCAAGUUGUACCCUGUAUGUUUGAUUUAGAUGGGAGGUUACUCAAGCAGUAGUAUUUAUAAACAAGAUUCAACUCUGUUAAGAAGAAUACAGACUAUUUAGAGAUUCAGAUGCAAGUUUCAAAGUUUUCAACUUACAUUUAUUUCAGGAACACUAAAACUGUUAUUUUCUCUGUAGACUGGUGACUGACUAUAUUUACACAGAAAACCACUCCCCCAAUCCUGUAGAAAAAACCCAUCUCUUCUCACCUUGAAAGAUCAAAACUUCCACAGAUAAAAUGUUUACAUCGCUAAUAAUGUCUACAGCUCAGAAGCCAGGAAAAAAGCUGCAUGCUGUGGAGAUAAUUUGGAAGCCAGUUAAAAAGUACAUAGAGUUUUAAAAAUUAAAUUUUACAAUACUGGAAUGGCCAAUGCACUAACGUAGCCCAUAUGUGUACAUGCAUAGGAUACAUUUCUAGUACUAGUGUCUUGUGCCUGUCACAAAAAAAAGUUAUUAAUAAAGCCUCAAACAGAAGGUUUGAUUACUAACGACAGGUAGGUCUAAUCCUUCACCUUUACUGCUGGCAUUCAGAGACAAACUGUUACUUUGAAAAAUAUGUAAGGGUGCUUUCCUACCCAGAACAGUAAUGAAACUCUCAUUUGCCGUCAAGCAUCUGCUUCAAGUUUUGAAAGACAGAAUGAUCACUUGGUUGUAGAUGAUGACAACCAAAGUCCUUUGCCACACCCAAAUUAAAGCUGCUGUACAAAUCUUCAGCUUCUCCUGUAGUACUGUGGGCUAUUGUUUUGCAACACUGCACAACGUCCCCAAUGUAGCUGUAAUAGCCUCACUAUUGUCACCAAUGUGAACUUGCAGUCCUUAGAAAUAAUACAAGAAAUUAACUGGAUUUGUAAUCAAAUUCCGUAUCUUGCAUCCCUUUGCUAGGCAGCAGAAGAGAAAUUAAACACCUAUAUUCAGAUAAUUUAACAGCACAUGACAAAACAUGCAAAAACUGGCUUCAGACUCCAAUCUUAAGUAAACCCUGGCAACGGGCACCCUUCCUCCAUAGUUGCUAAAUUAGCUAACAUUAAUAUUUGAUACAAAUAUGUUAGCGAUCAUAAUAGAAAAUUACAUACCAGAAAGAAUAAAAAUAGUCUCUCACAAUACAGCUCUUACUCUGUCCAAACACAAGAUUACCAAAUCAGUCUUAAAAAAAA